GAUGAACGCUAGCGGCAGGCUUAAUACAUGCAAGUCGAGGGGCAGCACGGAUAGCAAUAUCUGGUGGCGACCGGCGCACGGGUGCGUAACACGUAUGUAACCUACCUUAAACUGGGGAAUAGCCCCUUGAAAAGGGAUUAAUACCCCAUAACACUGCGAUAAGGCAUCUUAUUGCAGUUAAAGUUCCGACGGUUUAAGAUGGACAUGCGUGACAUUAGCUAGUUGGUGAGGUAACGGCUCACCAAGGCUACGAUGUCUAGGGGUCCUGAGAGGGUUAACCCCCACACUGGUACUGAGACACGGACCAGACUCCUACGGGAGGCUG
Molecule: ribosomal RNA, 325 nt
Filed under: uncultured Bacteroidota bacterium
Lineage: Bacteria; Pseudomonadati; Bacteroidota
Description: bacterial SSU rRNA
Rfam family: Bacterial small subunit ribosomal RNA
Source: RNAcentral